RNAcentral lists this transfer RNA (72 nucleotides) under Ovis aries (sheep). It matches the Rfam family "tRNA". From Rfam's summary of the family: Transfer RNA (tRNA) molecules are approximately 80 nucleotides in length. Their secondary structure includes four short double-helical elements and three loops (D, anti-codon, and T loops). Lineage: Eukaryota; Metazoa; Chordata; Mammalia; Artiodactyla; Bovidae. The record is from Rfam by way of RNAcentral.
UCCCUGGUGGCUCAGAUGAUAAAGCGUCUUCCUGCAAUGCAGGAGACCCGGGUUCAAUCCCCGGUUUGGGAA